UGUAGAGACCCAUAUUUUUUUGGACCGUAUUUUUCUUUUGCAAUCGUAUGACUUGUCGAGAUAGACGGUAUGGAUUUACGGUGUGGCGUGUUCGUGAAAGGAUAUAAUGGUAAUUAUGUGAGAGGUGCACGUGUGUGUGUGGCGCGAGAAGCGGGGGAUUCCUCCCCCACCUUUAUCUUUUUCCCAGGGAGAAUAAUUCUCCCAUUUCUCUCCCUCACUCUUCGGCUCACUGUCUCUCUCUCCUCUCCUCCGAAAUUUUUCCUCCUCUCUUCUCUCUUCGAUUUCAUCCACCUAGGGUGAGAUUCCGGACAAGGCCCGAGUAUUAAAGUUGUUCUACGGAGCGCGGGCUUUCCGAAUAUCCAAGAAAAAUUACGAUCGGGCCACGUGAGAACUCGGUUGACUUGGUCAAAGGGUUGGGUUUUGCUCAAAACCCAUGAGGUAGGGAUUUCUUACGCUUGUUAUGCGUUUGUAUGUUGAUUAUGUUGAUAGAUCGUGCUUAAAAUCGUCGUUUGAGACUAUCCCUUUCAUUUCCGAAAUUCUGCAGAACAGGGUCUUCGUUGUUGGGGUUUUCUGCCGCCUUAAGCUCAUAAUUGAAUUUUGGUUCCUUCGUAUGAAAUAGAGUAGACUUAAAGCCUGUUCUAAUGCCGCUGGAAUCACUCGAAACCGUUGAGAAUUGAAUUUAUGGUGAUAUCUAGAAUACUGGUCUGCAAUCUGUCUCGUUUUCUGGGUUUCAGCCCACUUCGAACGACCAUAACUUCCUCGUCCGAUGUUCGUUUUAUGCAAACUUUAUAUCGGUUCGAAGACCUCGAAGUCAGCUUUCAUUCGCCACUGGAAUCGUCUUAAAACUCUUAGUACACAAAAAGUUAUGAUCGAUUGAGUGGAGGUAUGUCAAUCUGUCAGGCAGAUUCAUGUAGCCCCGGUAAACCCCUGUUUAACCACCCUUGGAGUGCAGAUUUGAUAAGGGUUCCUUCGUGACUUUUAAGCUUCGUUCAAUCGCACAACUAUUGAGACUGGAAUCACUCAAAAAUAUUAAAAACUCGAUUUAUAGUGAUUUGUAGAAGAUUGCCUUGUAAUCUGAAAAUCUGGGCAGCUCACUGAGCAGUGUUCUUCAUUGAUUAGCUAUGGUUAAACGACCCUAUUGGUUAUGGGUCCUUGUAGGUUUUAAAGAUGGGUAAGUUGGUGAUGUUUUGGCGUUGGAAUCAUUGAAAGUUAUUGAGUAUGCUAUUUUUAAUAAAUUUUUGAACACGGACUACUCUGCUGAAAAUUAGAAUAUUUGACAAUCAUUCCUAAGCUUGAAAAAUCGUAUCGUACGACUCGUCGAACGUAUCUGGGCCAUUGGUUUUUCGUUAGCAUAGUUGGAGUAUCGUCGUAAAGGCUAUAGUAGCGUGAAGGAGUCCGUGAACGUCGUAGACUAUAAGAAAUGUUGUGACGUGCUUAAUUGGUAGAGGAGUACUUGUUUGAUUAAAUUGAUUAAAUGACUUUUGGAUUCGAUUGAAUGAUUUGAUGUUUGUGGAACGCGGAAUGAACGUGAUGACAAAUAGUCACAAAGAGAUCUUUCAGGGCUCUUAAAUGAGUAAAUGCCUGGCAGGAGCUGUAUGCUCAAAUCGUAUAAUUUCAGGGCUCUUAAAUGAGUAAAUGCCUGGCAGGAGCUGUAUGCUCAAAUCGUAUAAUUUCAGGGCUCUUAAAUGAGUAAAUGCCUGGCAGGAGCUGAGCUGUAUGCUCAAAUCGUACGCUUUCAGGGCUCGUUAUCGAGUAAGUGCCUGGCAGGAGCUUAGGCUCAGACACAUGACAUGAAAUUGGUUUAUGAAGUUGAUGAAAGAGAUUCUGGCGAUUGAUGAUAAUGAGAAAUGGGAUUUGGUGAUGAAAUGUGGAAUGUGAAAGAUUGUGAAAUUGUACGAGAUGUAAUGAACGGUACUAAGGUUGUUGUUUAUUUACUUAGAAUGAUGUAGGAAUAUUGAUGGUCCUUGUUUGACAUAUGAGCAGAUAGAUCUUUCAUAUAGGUCGCCUAGAAUCCCUGACCAUAGUGUGCUACUGUUGACAGUCCUGUGUACUUGGGCUUAUCUGUCGUUACACUCUCACUCUAGAUGCAUAACUCAUCAUAUUUUCCUAUAACUUGCGUAUAGAUUUCUCUACUGGGCACGUGUAUGCUCAAACCCUAUCAUUUUCAGGUACAAAAAUAAGGAAGUUGGCAUGGCGUGCAUAUCGUGCUUAUUGAUCAUGUCUUUCAAAGGUAUAAAAGAGGCGAUUAUUUGCAUUUGAUUCGAAAGGAGUAUUUUUGGAAAGACAUUUGUUAGAACUGUAAUAUUAUUUUCUUCGGACAUUGGUAUUUCGAUAACUUAGGGCCUCGAGCCAGGGAUGUACUCAUUGAAUUUUAUUUGAGAACAGUGAACGGAAAGGUCUUUUGGGGUAUUACUUGUAUUACAGUGAGGACUUUAUUUAUUAAAAGUGUUUAUUAUUUAUGUCAAAAAUCGAGGGCGUGACAACUUGGUAUCAGAGCAUAUGUUUAGAAUACCUAGAGACCGUGGGGAGACUUUUAGUCUCAUGGGUUCAAAAUUCGUUGCAUAUUUUUUUUCAAAACACAAGUAUGCUUGCAUGAAUGAGUCGGUACAUUAUUGAGGUGUCGCAUAUUGUAUUAUGGUAGAGUGACAUUGAGUUGUUGACCUGCAUUGGGAAGUUGGAGGCUUGGACCUCAUUGUAGUGAUUGUGGCUAUAUUGAUGUGUGAAGCAAAAUAUAAGAUAGCAUGUGAUAAAAGGGAUGGAAUGUUGAUAUGACUUAUGAGAUGAGUGUUAAAUGUGUUUUUAAUUGAAUUGUUUGGAUUAUGUGUUAAGUUUCAAAUGUGUUAAGUUAAGCCUAUGUGAGAUAAACUGUGUAAGGUAUAAGUAUUAGGUGAAUAAUAUAUGCAUUGGGAAUUGAGUUAGUGCGUGUCUUGAAUGUGUUUGGAAGGUAAAGUCGUGUUGUGGUGAUAACUGUGGUUGGUUACUAUAGUGGUAGUUAUUGAGACAGUUAAUAUAAGCAUAGGUAGGGCAAGUCGAACCUACAUACGAGAUAUAAGUAUCUAAAGUUGAGAUAAGAAUAUGAGGGUUAUAGGUAGGGUGUCUAGAUACAGUAUGUGUCUCCUGGACACCCAGGCGACUACCGAUGAGAUCCAAUUGGAAGAGGCGCUUGAUCACCGCUCCUUCUAGAUGGAAGUCUCGGAAAGUCAAUUGGACACUAGGAUUGUGUAUAGGUGUUAGAUCUCUAGGCUUGAGAUAGAUGACUCUACGUAGGAAUUUCGUAGAAAAAUGAUGUGCUAUGGUGUCGUAGUCUUCAUUGUUGAGGUGAAUGUCGUGGUGGUGUCGUUUUGAUAGGAUGGUAAAAAAAAAAAAAAAGGGAAGAAGACUUGAGGUGAUAGAUUUGAGAGGGACUAAUGUUUAAAUAGUGGUAGUGAUAGCAGUGAUGGUGAUGAGAAUAGUGUGGUUGAUAUUAUUGAGGUUGAGUACAAUUGUGGUAAAUAUCUUUGAGGAAAAUUGAUGUCGUUAUGACUACUUAGUUGAAAGAAGAAAUUUGUGAGCUGUGAAACUUAUGGUGAGCGGAACUGUUAAAAGAUAUUGGUGUGAGAGAAUUGAUUCUUAGGUGAGAAGUAGUUGGAAUCUUAGAAUGUGAUGAGAAGUAUAGACAUGCUGUUUGCAACCCUCGAGUCUUGUUGGUAUUUAGGAAGGAGUUUGUAAAUUUGUUUGUGCUUGUAUUGGUGUUUAAAUUUUGGUAUCGAGAUAAUCAAUAGUUUUGGAAGUUCGUUAGUGCAACUAUUGCACACAUUGUGUAGGUAUUUGGGUGAUGAAAUGCCAUGUGAUUGUAAAGUUGAUAGAGAAAUGAUUAAUAUUGAUGUUGUGUAUUUGUUAUGUGAUAUUUGAGAUUGUGAAAAUGGGAAACAUGUGACUUGAGUAGACUAAUUGACGAGAGUAUUUGAGAUUGAUGGUUGAAAAGAACGAGAUUACCAUUGGGCUUUCUAGAGCCAUGAAAUGUGAAUCUGUGGAUACUUUGUGAGUUGGUGAGUCUGCUGGAUACUGAGUGAGUCUAUUAAUGCGUGGAUGUGUUUGGUGUUGUGUAAGCUACUAAAUUGUACCGUGGGUUGUUGAAAUAUUUCGUGAAUGAAAUGUGCUGUUGUUUAGCUUUAACCUACAUGUUUGAUUUAUUAUGUAAUCUCAAUGCGAGAAAUUUGCUUUUAGUAUACGAUGUAGAAUAAACAGUGAUGCUUAUGAGGGUAGUUGCUACGAGUGUAUGCCUUUCUUGAGUAGCAGUAACGAUGUUUGGAGAAUUGGGUUUAAGGAAAAUAGUGGAUUGAUAUUUUACUAGAACGGUUUUAAUGUGUGUUGUGAAAAGUUAUGUAGAAGGGACGCAUUACCAUAGAAGUGAGUUUAAGUUUCCGAAAAUAGAAACCAGUGGUGAUUCUCAGCGGGCUAGGGAAUGUGGAGUAUUGCUAGACUAUUGGUUAUGUUGGAAUGUUGAAUGGACGAAAAAGUAGAUGGGGUUUAAGCCGAGUUGGUAAAAGAGUUAUAUGGGUAGCCAGAGGUGUGAGUUGGUGAUUGUGGCUAGCGGUUUUGUUUAUAUGUGUUUGGUUGUGUUGACAAUUAUUAGCAGAAUCAAUAGAAUUGAAUAAGUUGUGAGGUGUGUUUAUUCUUAAAGUCGAGAGAAAGAUCAAUAGAUUGAAGUAUGGGCAGUUUGACCAUUAUGAGUGGAUGUUUAUAGCUGAGCAAUGGGUGAUGAGUUAUUAUGUGGUUUAGAAUUCGAGGCUUAUUAGUUUUGUUCCAAUGGAGAUUAUUUGAGGUUCUUUGGAUUGGUGAGUAAAGGUUUGAUUCAUUGAUUGAUGUUGAUUGAAAAAGAUAGAACUUGGAGUUUAGAAUUCGAGUUUUUCUGAGCAGCUUAAUUUGUCCUCCUAGAAAUUUCGAGGAAUACUUAGAGAACGUAAGGAGAUUGUUUGUUGGAUUUUGAUGUGAUUGUCAUGUUGGUAAGUGGAGUCUAAGAAUUUUGUACAGAUGUGAAGACUUGAGGAUUUGAUAAAAUGAUAGUGGUUUGCGAUUGAGUGUUGAGUGGUAGAACCAUAAUAAUAGUGAGGAUUUCGUGGAGUAAUCAAAAAAAAAAGAGAGGGUCUACAUAGAAAGGAGAGGAUGAUGUGAUUAUUAUGAGAUGGCAGUAUGAGGUUUGGUAUUGUGGUUUGUGACUUGGUUGGACUUGGAUGAGCAAAUUUCGAGGACGAAAUUAUUUUUAAGGAGGGUAGGAUGUAGAGACCCAUAUUUUUUUGGACCGUAUUUUUCUUUUGCAAUCGUAUGACUUGUCGAGAUAGACGGUAUGGAUUUACGGUGUGGCGUGUUCGUGAAAGGAUAUAAUGGUAAUUAUGUGAGAGGUGCACGUGUGUGUGUGGCGCGAGAAGCGGGGGAUUCCUCCCCCACCUUUAUCUUUUUCCCAGGGAGAAUAAUUCUCCCAUUUCUCUCCCUCACUCUUCGGCUCACUGUCUCUCUCUCCUCUCCUCCGAAAUUUUUCCUCCUCUCUUCUCUCUUCGAUUUCAUCCACCUAGGGUGAGAUUCCGGACAAGGCCCGAGUAUUAAAGUUGUUCUACGGAGCGCGGGCUUUCCGAAUAUCCAAGAAAAAUUACGAUCGGGCCACGUGAGAACUCGGUUGACUUGGUCAAAGGGUUGGGUUUUGCUCAAAACCCAUGAGGUAGGGAUUUCUUACGCUUGUUAUGCGUUUGUAUGUUGAUUAUGUUGAUAGAUCGUGCUUAAAAUCGUCGUUUGAGACUAUCCCUUUCAUUUCCGAAAUUCUGCAGAACAGGGUCUUCGUUGUUGGGGUUUUCUGCCGCCUUAAGCUCAUAAUUGAAUUUUGGUUCCUUCGUAUGAAAUAGAGUAGACUUAAAGCCUGUUCUAAUGCCGCUGGAAUCACUCGAAACCGUUGAGAAUUGAAUUUAUGGUGAUAUCUAGAAUACUGGUCUGCAAUCUGUCUCGUUUUCUGGGUUUCAGCCCACUUCGAACGACCAUAACUUCCUCGUCCGAUGUUCGUUUUAUGCAAACUUUAUAUCGGUUCGAAGACCUCGAAGUCAGCUUUCAUUCGCCACUGGAAUCGUCUUAAAACUCUUAGUACACAAAAAGUUAUGAUCGAUUGAGUGGAGGUAUGUCAAUCUGUCAGGCAGAUUCAUGUAGCCCCGGUAAACCCCUGUUUAACCACCCUUGGAGUGCAGAUUUGAUAAGGGUUCCUUCGUGACUUUUAAGCUUCGUUCAAUCGCACAACUAUUGAGACUGGAAUCACUCAAAAAUAUUAAAAACUCGAUUUAUAGUGAUUUGUAGAAGAUUGCCUUGUAAUCUGAAAAUCUGGGCAGCUCACUGAGCAGUGUUCUUCAUUGAUUAGCUAUGGUUAAACGACCCUAUUGGUUAUGGGUCCUUGUAGGUUUUAAAGAUGGGUAAGUUGGUGAUGUUUUGGCGUUGGAAUCAUUGAAAGUUAUUGAGUAUGCUAUUUUUAAUAAAUUUUUGAACACGGACUACUCUGCUGAAAAUUAGAAUAUUUGACAAUCAUUCCUAAGCUUGAAAAAUCGUAUCGUACGACUCGUCGAACGUAUCUGGGCCAUUGGUUUUUCGUUAGCAUAGUUGGAGUAUCGUCGUAAAGGCUAUAGUAGCGUGAAGGAGUCCGUGAACGUCGUAGACUAUAAGAAAUGUUGUGACGUGCUUAAUUGGUAGAGGAGUACUUGUUUGAUUAAAUUGAUUAAAUGACUUUUGGAUUCGAUUGAAUGAUUUGAUGUUUGUGGAACGCGGAAUGAACGUGAUGACAAAUAGUCACAAAGAGAUCUUUCAGGGCUCUUAAAUGAGUAAAUGCCUGGCAGGAGCUGUAUGCUCAAAUCGUAUAAUUUCAGGGCUCUUAAAUGAGUAAAUGCCUGGCAGGAGCUGUAUGCUCAAAUCGUAUAAUUUCAGGGCUCUUAAAUGAGUAAAUGCCUGGCAGGAGCUGUAUGCUCAAAUCGUAUAAAUUUCAGGGCUCUUAAAUGAGUAAAUGCCUGGCAGGAGCUGUAUGCUCAAAUCGUACGCUUUCAGGGCUCGUUAUCGAGUAAGUGCCUGGCAGGAGCUUAGGCUCAGACACAUGACAUGAAAUUGGUUUAUGAAGUUGAUGAAAGAGAUUCUGGCGAUUGAUGAUAAUGAGAAA
Long non-coding RNA from Rhododendron vialii, 7159 nucleotides. RefSeq lists it as uncharacterized. The transcript has 4 exons. The record is from RefSeq and is a predicted model, not a curated record. Lineage: Eukaryota; Viridiplantae; Streptophyta; Magnoliopsida; Ericales; Ericaceae.